ACUCCUACGGGAGGCAGCAGUGGGGAAUAUUGCACAAUGGGGAAACCCUGAUGCAGCCAUGCCGCGUGUGUGAAGAAGGCCUCGGUUGUAAAGCACUUCAGUAGGAGGAAGGUAGUGUAGUUAACACCUGCAUAUUUGUACGUUACCUACAGAAGAAGCACCGGCUAACUCCGUGCCAGCAGCCGCGGUAAUACGGAGGGGUGCGAGCGUUAAUCGGAAUUACUGGGCGUAAAGCGCAUGCAGGCGGCCUGUUAAGUCAGAUGUGAAAGCCCGGGGGCUUAACCUCGGAAUUGCAUUUGAAACUGGCAGGCUAGAGUCUGUAGAGGGGGUAGGAAUUUCAGGUGUAGCGGUGAAAUGCGUAGAGAUCUG
This 369-nucleotide ribosomal RNA is filed under the name uncultured bacterium. Its description in RNAcentral is "bacterial SSU rRNA". It matches the Rfam family "Bacterial small subunit ribosomal RNA", at positions 335 to 700 of the family's 1533-position model. The record is from RNAcentral.